AUUGAACGCUGGCGGCAGGCCUAACACAUGCAAGUCGAGCGAGCGGCGGACGGGUGCGUAAUGCCUAGGCAUCUGCCUGGUAGUGGGGGAUCACGUCCGGAAACGGUAGCUAAUACCGCAUACCAUCGGAUGUGCCCCGAUGGGCUUAGCUAGUAGGUGGGUUAACGGCUCACCUAGGCGACGAUCCCUAGCUGGUCUGAGAGGAUGACCAGCCACACGGGAACUGAGAAACGGUCCAGACGCCUACGGGAGGCAGCAGGGGGGAAUAUUGCACAAUGGGCGCAAGCCUGAUGCAGCCAUGCCGCGUGUAUGAAGAAGGCCUUCGGGUUGUAAAGUACUUUCAGCGAGGAGGCGUUACUCGCAGAAGAAGCAACGGCUAACUCCGUGCCAGCAGCCGCGGUAAUAC
This 406-nucleotide ribosomal RNA is filed under the name uncultured bacterium. RNAcentral's name for it is "partial 16S ribosomal RNA". It matches the Rfam family "Bacterial small subunit ribosomal RNA", at positions 30 to 526 of the family's 1533-position model. The record is from RNAcentral.